GAUGAACGCUGGCGGCGUGCCUAAUACAUGCAAGUCGAGCGAACAGACGAGGAGCUUGCUCCUCUGACGUUAGCGGCGGACGGGUGAGUAACACGUGGAUAACCUACCUAUAAGACUGGGAUAACUUCGGGAAACCGGAGCUAAUACCGGAUAAUAUAUUGAACCGCAUGGUUCAAUAGUGAAAGACGGUUUUGCUGUCACUUAUAGAUGGAUCCGCGCCGCAUUAGCUAGUUGGUAAGGUAACGGCUUACCAAGGCGACGAUGCGUAGCCGACCUGAGAGGGUGAUCGGCCACACUGGAACUGAGACACGGUCCAGACUCCUACGGGAGGCAGCAGUAGGGAAUCUGCCGCAAUAGGCGAAAGCCUGACGGAGCAACGCCGCGUGAGUGAUGAAGGUCUUCGGAUCGUAAAACUCUGUUAUUAGGGAAGAACAAAUGUGUAAGUAACUAUGCACGUCUUGACGGUACCUAAUCAGAAAGCCACGGCUAACUACGUG
Molecule: ribosomal RNA, 497 nt
Filed under: uncultured bacterium
Lineage: Bacteria
Description: partial 16S ribosomal RNA
Rfam family: Bacterial small subunit ribosomal RNA
Source: RNAcentral